This 270-nucleotide long non-coding RNA is filed under the name Phoenix dactylifera (date palm). RNAcentral describes it as "long non-coding RNA (PDAC_LNC007755)". The record is from RNAcentral. Lineage: Eukaryota; Viridiplantae; Streptophyta; Magnoliopsida; Arecales; Arecaceae.
AAUCUUCAAUGAACUCGCCGUCCUCUGAAGUGAGUCUAUGCCUCUGUUCUAUAGGAGACUCACAAGGCGGCCUACAAUGUUGAGACAUGUAUUUGUUUGAAAAUUUUUUUUUUAUGUUUAGGGAAGAAAAGAAAAUUUCGCUGCCAAGCCUUUUUCUUAUUUUUUUAAUUUCACUCGCUAUACUUUUUUCUUAUUGCUGGUUAAAUUAAAAACGGAUCGGCGAAUAUUUUAUUUAAAUGGAAAGUCAAUGUAUCUAACAAAUUACUUCUA